CUGUGCCAGUGUGUCAGACACCAGAGGGAGAGAGGAAAACAGCCAAUACAAAAGGGAAUGAUCCCUGGCUCAAGAUGAGAAGGAAGGAGAGCUCUCUAUGUUCGUAGUCCAGCCAUAUAGGAUGCUUGGCCAAAAUGAAGGUAUAGAAAAGGAACAACCAAAGAAAGAACAGGACAUACUGGAUCUUUCUGGGUAUCAUCAAACUUCUCCAUCCAAGAAUAAGGGACAGCAGCAUCUCUUUGACAUCCAUAGCCCAUUUCUGCUUUGCCAAUAUCACUUGUGCAUCUGGGGCCACCAAUGCAUCCUAUCCUAGCAAGUAUCAAUGGGAAUAAAGAAGAAACUUAGAAAACGACAAAAUUCAAGAAGAGCUGAAGCUCUGGAGCUAGCUUUGGUGGAGAAAGAAUGAUGCGGGAUGUUGGACUAAGCGAGAAAUGCAUAAGAAGCUGGAAACCAGAAAGCAAGGAGACCCACUAACAUGGCCUACUCUGGUCGGCCUCUGGGCACAAAGGAGGGUGAAGAAAGGAUGGGAGCAGACAUGGAGGCACCAAUGCUGCUGAGUUUAACACAAAGCCAUAUAGAGGUCAUUUCUAUAGAGCACAAUAAAUACCAUUAUGUGUUAGACGGAUGGAUGGAUCACUUUUCUCCCCUUGCAAGGACCCUGGUCUAACCCCAGAUAUCAUCUCUUGGACUCUGCUAGCAGCCAUGGAAAUAGUACCCUGCUUCCAUCCCCGCCUCUUCUCAUUCCAUUUUUCAAGUAUAGACACAGCUUAAGGGACAAACAAGAUUCAAAACAUGAGAUUUCCAAAAGUAAAUUUUCAAGGUACUCCUAUGGGAAAGCGCCGUUGAGAAUAUCCUUCUCAGGUUUAGCACAGUCCCUCAAGGUAAGCACCUUCAACCCUGCUUCGACUGCAAAGAGUUCUUUAAGAAGGUAUGACUGAGAGGUCUCCGCUUUUCCUUCUUCCUAUUAAAAAUGGCUCUUAGAUGCUUUUAUUCUUAGUGAGGCCAUCCUAUUGUAGCACCAAUAUAGUUAUAUAAGCGCAUCGUUUCAUGCUCUAUUCACCUUCUGAAUCUUUUAACCCCACCUCCCUCAGCUGAGAAAAGAAAUACUAUGGGUUUAAAUCUAUCCUCUAUCAGCUGCAGCACGAUAAUUCUUACCCUAGGGCCCCAAACCCUCAUUUCAGACGGACUAAUCCAAACCUCUUUUGGAGG
RNAcentral lists this long non-coding RNA (1209 nucleotides) under Homo sapiens (human). RNAcentral's name for it is "HSALNT0386888". Lineage: Eukaryota; Metazoa; Chordata; Mammalia; Primates; Hominidae. The record is from RNAcentral.